CAAACUUGUGGGUAAUAAUGUCCUCCUUGACAAUCUUUUUCAAAGAUCUUCCCCAGGACUGAAGUCAGACUGACUGGACUAUAGUUGGCAGUGGGCAGAGUUGGGGCA
Molecule: long non-coding RNA, 108 nt
Organism: Gavialis gangeticus (Gharial)
Lineage: Eukaryota; Metazoa; Chordata; Crocodylia; Gavialidae
Exons: 3
Source: RefSeq, a predicted model, not a curated record